GUCAUGGUAUUCAUUUCUAAAUAAUUUUCUUUCAUGAUAUUUAGGAUGCUGCCUUAUAUGUGUUUCAUCAUUUUUCUGACUCAGUAAGUUUGGAACAGAUGAAGGAAAGUGAGUGUUAAGUUUGGGAAUAAAAGCAGAGGGCAGUAAGGUCUGCCCUGACUUGGACUUCCAUGUCUGUCCUGCCUUCACAGGAGAUGAUCUGAGUGUCUCCAUCUUGCUCUGCAAUACAGAGAACAUCACAGAGGACCACAUGGAUGCCCUUCAAGAAUUAAGUUGACAAUAAACAAUUCUGAUUUUUGAUCAA
Molecule: long non-coding RNA, 304 nt
Organism: Cavia porcellus (domestic guinea pig)
Lineage: Eukaryota; Metazoa; Chordata; Mammalia; Rodentia; Caviidae
Exons: 2
Source: RefSeq, a predicted model, not a curated record